ACUCCGGUGGUUAUGGAUGGGCAUGCGUUGUAUUAGCUGGUUGGUGAGGUAACGGCUCACCAAGGCGACGAUACAUAGGGGGACUGAGAGGUUAACCCCCCACAUUGGUACUGAGACACGGACCAAACUCCUACGGGAGGCAGCAGUGAGGAAUAUUGGUCAAUGGACGCAAGUCUGAACCAGCCAUGCCGCGUGCAGGAAGACGGCUCUAUGAGUUGUAAACUGCUUUUGUACGAGGGUAAACGCUCUUACGUGUAAGAGCCUGAAAGUAUCGUACGAAUAAGGAUCGGCUAACUCCGUGCCAGCAGCCGCGGUAAUACGGAGGAUCCAAGCGUUAUCCGGAUUUAUUGGGUUUAAAGGGUGCGUAGGCGGUUUGAUAAGUUAGAGGUGAAAUACCGGUGCUUAACACCGGAACUGCCUCUAAUACUGUUGAACUAGAGAGUAGUUGCGGUAGGCGGAAUGUAUGGUGUAGCGGUGAAAUGCUUAGAGAUCAUACAGAACACCGAUUGCGAAGGCAGCUUACCAAACUAUAUCUGACGUUGAGGCACGAAAGCGUGGGGAGCAAACAGGAUUAGAUACCCUGGUAGUCCACGCAGUAAACGAUGAUAACUCGCUGUCGGCGAUACACAGUCGGCGGCUAAGCGAAAGCGAUAAGUUAUCCACCUGGGGAGUACGUUCGCAAGAAUGAAACUCAAAGGAAUUGACGGGGGCCCGCACAAGCGGAGGAACAUGUGGUUUAAUUCGAUGAUACGCGAGGAACCUUACCCGGGCUUGAAAGUUACUGACGAUUCUGGAAACAGGAUUUCCCUUCGGGGCAGGAAACUAGGUGCUGCAUGGUUGUCGUCAGCUCGUGCCGUGAGGUGUCGGGUUAAGUCCCAUAACGAGCGCAACCCCUACCGUUAGUUGCCAUCAGGUCAAGCUGGGCACUCUGGCGGGACUGCCGGUGUAAGCCGAGAGGAAGGUGGGGAUGACGUCAAAUCAGCACGGCCCUUACGUCCGGGGCUACACACGUGUUACAAUGGUAGGUACAGAGGGCAGCUACCCAGUGAUGGGAUGCGAAUCUCGAAAGCCUAUCUCAGUUCGGAU
RNAcentral lists this ribosomal RNA (1086 nucleotides) under gut metagenome. RNAcentral describes it as "bacterial SSU rRNA". It matches the Rfam family "Bacterial small subunit ribosomal RNA", at positions 209 to 1298 of the family's 1533-position model. The record is from RNAcentral.